RNAcentral lists this unclassified non-coding RNA (228 nucleotides) under plant metagenome. RNAcentral's name for it is "partial contains small subunit ribosomal RNA, internal transcribed spacer 1, and 5.8S ribosomal RNA". The record is from RNAcentral.
UCUCCGUAGGUGAACCUGCGGAGGGAUCAUUACAGAGUUCAUGCCCUACCGGGUAGAUCUCCCACCCUAUGUUAUUAUUACUUUGUUGCUUUGGCGGGCCGUUAGGCUCCGGCCCGACUACCGGCCCCGGCUGGUAAGCGCCCGCCAGAGGACCCAAAACCCUGAAUAUUAGUGUCGUCUGAGUACUAUAUAUAGUUAAAACUUUCAACAACGGAUCUCUUGGUUCUG